Molecule: ribosomal RNA, 343 nt
Filed under: uncultured bacterium
Lineage: Bacteria
Description: bacterial SSU rRNA
Rfam family: Bacterial small subunit ribosomal RNA
Source: RNAcentral
AACGAACGCUGGCGGCAGGCUUAACACAUGCAAGUCGAACGGUUGUAGCAAUACAGCAGUGGCAGACGGGUGAGUAACACGUGGGAACCUUCCUAGGGGUACGGAACAACUCAGGGAAACUUGAGCUAAUACCGUAUACGUCCGUGAGGAGAAAGAUUUAUCGCCCUUAGACGGGCCCGCGUAGGAUUAGGUAGUUGGUGGGGUAAUGGCCUACCAAGCCUACGAUCCUUAGCUGAUCUGAGAGGAUGAUCAGCCACACUGGGACUGAGACACGGCCCAGACUCCUACGGGAGGCAGCAGGUGGGGAAUCUUGGACAAUGGGCGCAAGCCUGAUCCAGCCAUG